Ribosomal RNA from Aotus nancymaae (Ma's night monkey), 98 nucleotides. Lineage: Eukaryota; Metazoa; Chordata; Mammalia; Primates; Aotidae. The record is from Ensembl.
GUCUACAGCCAUACCACCCUAAAUGUGCCUGAUCUCAGAAGCCAAGCAGGGUUUGGCCUGGUUAAUACUUGGAUGGGAGAGGGGUCUCACUCUUGAUA